This is a regulatory RNA element of 139 nucleotides. It matches the Rfam family "CpoB/ybgF ICR thermometer". Rfam says of the family: Imprinting control region from upstream of cpoB/ybgF (tol/pal system protein). The record is from Rfam.
UCAGAUCGCUAUCGUAUCUUACGGUAAAGAGAAACCGGCCGUACUGGGUCACGACGAAGCGGCUUACGCCAAAAACCGUCGGGCCGUCCUGGUUUACUAAGAGUCUUGCAUGAGCAAUAACUUCAGACCUUAUCUGUUG